This 670-nucleotide ribosomal RNA is filed under the name Enterococcus faecalis. RNAcentral's name for it is "bacterial SSU rRNA". It matches the Rfam family "Bacterial small subunit ribosomal RNA", at positions 20 to 660 of the family's 1533-position model. Lineage: Bacteria; Bacillati; Bacillota; Bacilli; Lactobacillales; Enterococcaceae. The record is from RNAcentral.
CCCGUCAGGACGANCGCUGGCGGCGUGCCUAAUACAUGCAAGUCGAACGCUUCUUUCCUCCCGAGUGCUUGCACUCAAUUGGAAAGAGGAGUGGCGGACGGGUGAGUAACACGUGGGUAACCUACCCAUCAGAGGGGGAUAACACUUGGAAACAGGUGCUAAUACCGCAUAACAGUUUAUGCCGCAUGGCAUAAGAGUGAAAGGCGCUUUCGGGUGUCGCUGAUGGAUGGACCCGCGGUGCAUUAGCUAGUUGGUGAGGUAACGGCUCACCAAGGCCACGAUGCAUAGCCGACCUGAGAGGGUGAUCGGCCACACUGGGACUGAGACACGGCCCAGACUCCUACGGGAGGCAGCAGUAGGGAAUCUUCGGCAAUGGACGAAAGUCUGACCGAGCAACGCCGCGUGAGUGAAGAAGGUUUUCGGAUCGUAAAACUCUGUUGUUAGAGAAGAACAAGGACGUUAGUAACUGAACGUCCCCUGACGGUAUCUAACCAGAAAGCCACGGCUAACUACGUGCCAGCAGCCGCGGUAAUACGUAGGUGGCAAGCGUUGUCCGGAUUUAUUGGGCGUAAAGCGAGCGCAGGCGGUUUCUUAAGUCUGAUGUGAAAGCCCCCGGCUCAACCGGGGAGGGUCAUUUGGAAACUGGGAGACUUGAGUGCAGAAGAGGAGA